CAGAACUAAAACUAGAGAUAGGUCCAGGGAACGAAGAGAUAUAGCGCCACAUUACAUCGAAUCGCCAAUACCUGUACCUAUCUACUAUGGUAGUUUUCCUCCGAGACCUAUCGUAGUAAACCCUAUGGUUCCAUUAAGAGG
Long non-coding RNA from Trachymyrmex septentrionalis, 141 nucleotides. RefSeq lists it as uncharacterized. The transcript has 2 exons. Lineage: Eukaryota; Metazoa; Arthropoda; Insecta; Hymenoptera; Formicidae. The record is from RefSeq and is a predicted model, not a curated record.